RNAcentral lists this unclassified non-coding RNA (416 nucleotides) under soil metagenome. Its description in RNAcentral is "partial contains 5.8S ribosomal RNA, internal transcribed spacer 2, and large subunit ribosomal RNA". The stretch from base 1 to 120 matches the Rfam family "5.8S ribosomal RNA", at positions 35 to 154 of the family's 154-position model. The record is from RNAcentral.
GAUGAAGAACGUAGCGAAAUGCGAUAAGUAAUGUGAAUUGCAGAAUUCAGUGAAUCAUCGAAUCUUUGAACGCACCUUGCACUCCUUGGUAUUCCGAGGAGUACGCCUGUUCGAGUGUUAUGAAGCUCUCAAAACGCAAUUGGCUUAAAACCUGAUUGUUGUUUUGGAUUUGAACUUUGCCGUGUUAUAACGGCUGGUUUUAAAAGUAUUAGCUGGUACUAGAACGAAUUGGUUCUACUCAACGUGAUAAUUAUCUGAUCGUUGAGGACAUUCCUUUCACGAGGAAUGGCCAUAGUAAAUUCAAUGGACUGCUUCUAAUCUGGCUUUAAUUCUUUAUUGGAUUAACCACUUUUCAAAUCUGACCUCGAAUCAGGUGGGAAUACCCGCUGAACUUAAGCAUAUCAAUAAGCGGAGGA